UAGGCAAUUUCUUAAAAUGAAGAGGAAAGCCCAAGCAUUGAAAGGGGAGAGAACCCUGUUUACAGUUCAUCCAAGAUGCAAAUUGAGCAGACUCAUUCUCUGUCAUAUUCAAACAGAUGAUCAAGCUUUUAUGGAAGUUUAUACUCAGACUAGAUGCACCGUCAAAUGCUAAUAAAAUUACUUUGGAAGUCAAUACACUGUCCUUCUUGCCAGCAUAAAAUAAUAGAGUGUCAUCAACAAACUGUAAGCUCAAAAUAUCAUCAAACUCCUUCUGAUGCCCAAUACCUUCG
Molecule: long non-coding RNA, 290 nt
Filed under: Elaeis guineensis (African oil palm)
Lineage: Eukaryota; Viridiplantae; Streptophyta; Magnoliopsida; Arecales; Arecaceae
Description: long non-coding RNA (EGUI_LNC020431)
Source: RNAcentral